UGGAUCCAGACUUUGAUUAUGGCUCAGGAUGAACGCUGGCGGCGUGCUUAACACAUGCAAGUCGAACGGAGUCAUCAUUUUUGAAGUGAUCAGCUUGCUGAGAAUGGAAAUGUUGGUGACUUAGUGGCGGACGGGUGAGUAACGCGUGGGUAACCUGCCUUACACAGGGGGAUAACACUUAGAAAUAGGUGCUAAUACCGCAUAAGCGCACGGUUCCGCAUGGGACAGUGUGAAAAACUGAGGUGGUGUAAGAUGGACCCGCGUCUGAUUAGCUGGUUGGUGAGGUAACGGCCCACCAAGGCGACGAUCAGUAGCCGGCCUGAGAGGGUGGACGGCCACAUUGGGACUGAGACACGGCCCAAACUCCUACGGGAGGCAGCAGUGGGGGAUAUUGGACAAUGGGGGGAACCCUGAUCCAGCGACGCCGCGUGAGUGAAGAAGUAUCUCGGUAUGUAAAGCUCUAUCAGCAGGGAAGAAAGAAAUGACGGUACCUGAGUAAGAAGCCCCGGCUAACUACGUGCCAGCAGCCGCGGUAAUACGUAGGGGGCAAGCGUUAUCCGGAAUUACUGGGUGUAAAGGGAGCGUAGACGGUGAUGUAAGUCUGGAGUGAAAGGCGGGGGCCCAACCCCCGGACUGCUCUGGAAACUAUAUGACUGGAGUGCAGGAGAGGUAAGCGGAAUUCCUAGUGUAGCGGUGAAAUGCGUAGAUAUUAGGAGGGACACCAGUGGCGAAGGCGGCUUACUGAACUGUAACUGACGCUGAGGCUCGAAAGCGUGGGGAGCAAACAGGAUUAGAUACCCUGGUAGUCCACGCCGUAAACGAUGAUCACUAGGUGUAGGUGGGUAUGGACCCAUCGGUGCCGCAGCCAACGCAGUAAGUGAUCCACCUGGGGAGUACGUUCGCAAGAGUGCAACUCAAAUGAAUUGACGGA
RNAcentral lists this ribosomal RNA (931 nucleotides) under uncultured Bacillota bacterium. Its description in RNAcentral is "bacterial SSU rRNA". It matches the Rfam family "Bacterial small subunit ribosomal RNA", at positions 1 to 917 of the family's 1533-position model. Lineage: Bacteria; Bacillati; Bacillota. The record is from RNAcentral.